AGUGCGGGAGGGAGAGUGGAAUUCUGGUGUAGCGGUGAAAUGCGUAGAUAUCAGGAGGAACACCGGUGGUGUAGACGGCUCUCUGGACCGUAACUGACGCUGAGACACGAAAGCGUGGGUAGCAAACAGGAUUAGAUACCCUGGUAGUCCACGCCCUAAACGAUGCAUAUUUGGUGUAGGUCAUUUAGUUGAUCUGUGCCGGAGCUAACGCGUUAAAUAUGCCGCCUGGGGAGUACAGUCGCAAGGCUGAAACUCAAAGGAAUUGACGGGGGCCCGCACAAGCGGUGGAGCAUGUGGUUCAAUUCGACGCAACGCGAAGAACCUUACCUGGGCUCGAACGGCUUCUCAACGCCGGUGGAAACAUCGGUACCCCGCAAGGGGGUGGAGUCGAGGUGCUGCAUGGCUGUCGUCAGCUCGUGUCGUGGGAUGUUGGGUUAAGUCCCGCAACGAGCGCAACCCUUGUCCUGUGUUGCCACCCCGUAAGGGAGCACUCGCAGGAGACCGCCAGCGAUAUGCUGGAGGAAGGUGGGGAUGACGUCAAGUCCUCAUGGCCUUUAUGUCCAGGGCUACACACGUGCUACAAUGGCCGGUACAAAGCGUUCCCAAGCCGCGAGGUGGAGGCAAUCGCAAAAAACCGGUCUCAGUUCGGAUUGCAGGCUGCAACUCGCCUGCAUGAAGCUGGAAUCGCUAGUAAUGGCAGAUCAGCACGCUGCCGUGAAUACGUUCCCGGGCCUUGUACACACCGCCCGUCACAUCACGAAAGUGGGUUGUACUAGAAGUCCUCAGGCUGACCCGCAAGGGGGGCAGAGGCCCAAGGUAUGACUCAUGAUUGGGGUGAAGUCGUAACAAGGUAACC
RNAcentral lists this ribosomal RNA (856 nucleotides) under uncultured soil bacterium. RNAcentral's name for it is "bacterial SSU rRNA". It matches the Rfam family "Bacterial small subunit ribosomal RNA", at positions 645 to 1501 of the family's 1533-position model. The record is from RNAcentral.